RNAcentral lists this unclassified non-coding RNA (344 nucleotides) under soil metagenome. RNAcentral's name for it is "partial contains 5.8S ribosomal RNA, internal transcribed spacer 2, and large subunit ribosomal RNA". The stretch from base 1 to 120 matches the Rfam family "5.8S ribosomal RNA", at positions 35 to 154 of the family's 154-position model. The record is from RNAcentral.
GAUGAAGAACGCAGCGAAAUGCGAUAAGUAAUGUGAAUUGCAGAAUUCCGUGAAUCAUCGAAUCUUUGAACGCACAUUGCGCCCUCUGGUAUUCCGGGGGGCAUGCCUGUCCGAGCGUCAUUUGCAACCCUCAAGCCCGGCUUGUGUGAUGGGUGCCGUCCCCUACGGGACGCGCCCCGAAGGCAAUGGCGGCGUCGCGGUUAUCCGAUCAGCCAAAGUGUAUGGGCUUUGUCACUCACUUUACGGCCCGGACCGGCGCCAGUCCGAAUCAAUCUUUUUUCUAAAGUUGACCUCGGAUCAGGUAGGGAUACCCGCUGAACUUAAGCAUAUCAAUAAGCGGAGGA